UAGAGAGAAAUGGAGAGACAUGUUCCCUCCAAUUUUCUCCAAAACAAACCCCUUAAUGAAUUUUAGCUAUAAACUCAUAUUUAUACCUUAAUUCAUUGGAGUGGCAAACUUGUAAAUAAGUCCAAGUUCACUACCCUUCUCUAAAUGGCCGGCCCUAGGGUUUUGUUUGGGCUUUUGGGCCUUUGUGAAUUAAGUUGUCAUACAACUUAAGUCAAUGGGCUUGACGUUCGAAGCCCAUUGGGCCUUAAGGUCCAAAACUAUCCCCGAGGUCUUUAACGAACUUAUUCGUUUGAUUAAUUAACAUAUUAAUUAAUCCUUGCCAUAAAUAAUUAAACCAUUUAAUUAUUCUUACUCAUCUCCAUUGUUUCUUCAAUCUUCACCUUACACGGUGUACGAUCCAUUAGGUUCCUUUUAGCGAGGCAGUGGGCGAUUAAAACCAUUUUACAUCGAUUGUGAAUUGAAACUUACUUUCAAUUCUCCCUUUAGUGAUUACACACAUUUAGGGCUUCCACAAACCAUGAGUGACACCUAGCAGCAUAUCAUGGUUACCCAAGCUAAUCAGAAGAGG
RNAcentral lists this long non-coding RNA (568 nucleotides) under Malus domestica (apple). RNAcentral's name for it is "long non-coding RNA (MDOM_LNC006019)". Lineage: Eukaryota; Viridiplantae; Streptophyta; Magnoliopsida; Rosales; Rosaceae. The record is from RNAcentral.